This is a long non-coding RNA of Lutra lutra (Eurasian river otter), 243 nucleotides long. RefSeq lists it as uncharacterized. The transcript is spliced from 3 exons. The record is from RefSeq and is a predicted model, not a curated record. Lineage: Eukaryota; Metazoa; Chordata; Mammalia; Carnivora; Mustelidae.
GGACAUCAGUGAUACUGCAUCCCCUCCCACUUGGCUCCUACCCUCCUCCCAAUAUGGCUUCCCAAGCUCAUCCACAACAGAGUUGUUGCCUGUAGAUGAACAUUUACAAACUAUAAUGCUUCACUCAGUCAGUGAAAUGUUUUCCAUUAUCUGGGCUGUGGGGAUAUAAAGUACUGCUACUAGACUGUGACCUACAGACAGGCACUGAUCCACCAACCAUGGGAUUCUGGCUUUCAGUGAAAU